AUUAACUAUCUUUCUCAAGCUGUACAUUAUGUCUCUAGACUUCUUCAUUCUAUGUGUAUGCAACCUUUUGCCCUCCAACCUCACUCUUCCCAUUCCCAAUCUCUCCCAUCCACCUAUUCAUUGCCUUUGGUAACCACCUUUCUGUUGUUUGUUUCUAGUAUGGAGACCCUGCCAUUUGCGACAACAUGGAUGUAUCUGCAGGACAUUAAGACAAGUGCAAUAAGCAAGACACGGAAAGAAAAUAUAGCAUGGUCUCUCUUAUAUGUGGAAUUUAAAAAUUAACUCUGAAUACUUUGGAUUAAACUGAUGCAGCAAUCAUCCAAGAGAUGUCCACAUACGCACUCCUGUUAACGUUAGUUCCUUUCAUCCAAGCCAUCAGAGGUUCUCCCUGGAUCUCAUUUUUGGGAGUAGCUGACUUUUUCAUUCUCUGCUGGAGCGUUUGGGCUGAUUCAUCACCGCCUCCCCAACCACCAUUCACUGAGUGUAGCCCCUGGUCGUGGCUGCCUUUUCUGCUAUUUUAUAGACCCAAGCCUGAAUCUAUAAAGCGCUUCCCUUGGUACCUCCCAGAAACUUUUUAUUGCCUGUCUCUUUCUGUCAACUCAGUUGCAGAAAAAUACAUUUUAUGGCUCCAGUACUUUAAGAAAGCUCUGAAAAAUCAAAUCUGUCCAUGGGAGUGCCAGCAUACUAUCUAUUAGAUUAAAUGAAGCUGUAAGCAUCUUUGAAGUACAAAUGAUACUUGGAAAGUAAAUGAAACUGGGAAUACUUGCAAGUAAAAUAUGGGAAGUCAAAGAGAUUAAAGGAUGAGAACCAGAAAUUGCUUAUGGCCAGUGUCCUGAGUAAGCCUCAGAAUCGCAUCCUAGAAGCAUCACGUUCUUGCGUUACCCUAUGGAUCUAAAAAAAGACUUCCUUAGUUUGAUGUAGUCUGCAGACAUCUCAUCAUCACAAAAACUUGAAAGCACUUACAGCACUAAGAAACUACCUUUGCAGAUUGUAAAAAAAGAUAGAAUCCUACUUAGUGUUUUGAUCACACCUGCCUAUUUCCCCAAGGUUUUACUGCAGGGUUAAAGAAUGAAUAAGCAUCUAGUUAUAUUUAAUAAACUCCAUGCCUUAUGGCUGAUUCUAAAGGCACAUGGCUUUGUUACAUUCGCUUGAAGCUCUGCUUUAUUUUCUAAAAAUGGUUGCUUACAGUGGUCCCUUGCAGCCCAUGGUGAUAGUUUAU
Molecule: long non-coding RNA, 1219 nt
Filed under: Pan troglodytes (chimpanzee)
Lineage: Eukaryota; Metazoa; Chordata; Mammalia; Primates; Hominidae
Description: lncRNA (ENSPTRG00000053926.1)
Source: RNAcentral